Molecule: non-coding RNA, 52 nt
Organism: Callithrix jacchus (white-tufted-ear marmoset)
Lineage: Eukaryota; Metazoa; Chordata; Mammalia; Primates; Cebidae
Source: Rfam
UUUUUAGUAUAAGUGUGUCCCAUGCAAUAUUUAGGAUGUGCUUAUAUUAAAA